AUUGAACGCUGGCGGCAGGCCUAACACAUGCAAGUCGAGCGGAUGAAGGGAGCUUGCUCCUGGAUUCAGCGGCGGACGGGUGAGUAAUGCCUAGGAAUCUGCCUGGUAGUGGGGGAUAACGUCCGGAAACGGGCGCUAAUACCGCAUACGUCCUGAGGGAGAAAGUGGGGGAUCUUCGGACCUCACGCUAUCAGAUGAGCCUAGGUCGGAUUAGCUAGUUGGUGGGGUAAAGGCCUACCAAGGCGACGAUCCGUAACUGGUCUGAGAGGAUGAUCAGUCACACUGGAACUGAGACACGGUCCAGACUCCGACGGGAGGCAGCAGUGGGGAAUAUUGGACAAUGGGCGAAAGCCUGAUCCAGCCAUGCCGCGUGUGUGAAGAAGGUCUUCGGAUUGUAAAGCACUUUAAGUUGGGAGGAAGGGCAGUAAGUUAAUACCUUGCUGUUUUGACGUUACCAACAGAAUAAGCACCGGCUAACUUCG
RNAcentral lists this ribosomal RNA (482 nucleotides) under uncultured bacterium. RNAcentral's name for it is "partial 16S ribosomal RNA". It matches the Rfam family "Bacterial small subunit ribosomal RNA", at positions 30 to 505 of the family's 1533-position model. The record is from RNAcentral.